RNAcentral lists this ribosomal RNA (800 nucleotides) under uncultured bacterium. RNAcentral's name for it is "bacterial SSU rRNA". It matches the Rfam family "Bacterial small subunit ribosomal RNA", at positions 8 to 820 of the family's 1533-position model. The record is from RNAcentral.
AGAGUUUGAUCCUGGCUCAGGACGAACGCUGGCGGCGUGCUUAACACAUGCAAGUCACGGGGGCCAGCAAUGGCAACCGGCGAACGGGUGCGUAACACGUGAGCAAUCUGCCGAUGUCUGGGGGAUAGCCGGCCCAACGGCCGGGUAAUACCGCAUACGCUUGCUUUGAGGAGUCUCGAGGCAAGGAAACCUCCGGGGGACAUCGAGGAGCUCGCGGCCUAUCAGCUAGUUGGCGGGGUAAUGGCCCACCAAGGCUCUGACGGGUAGCUGGUCUGAGAGGAUGGCCAGCCACAUUGGGACUGAGAAACGGCCCAGACUCCUACGGGAGGCAGCAGUGGGGAAUCUUGCGCAAUGGCCGAAAGGCUGACGCAGCGACGCCGCGUGUGGGAGGACGCCCUUCGGGGUGUAAACCACUGUUGCCCGGGACGAACAUCCCCUUUCGAGGGGACUGACGGUACCGGGUGAGGGAGCACCGGCUAACUCCGUGCCAGCAGCCGCGGUAAUACGGAGGGUGCGAGCGUUGUCCGGAAUCACUGGGCGUAAAGGGCGCGUAGGCGGCGCGGGAAGUCAUCGGUGAAAGUUCAGGGCUCAACUCUGAAUCGGCCGGUGAUACUCUCGUGCUCGAGCACUGUAGAGGCAGGUGGAAUUCCGGGUGUAGCGGUGGAAUGCGUAGAGAUCCGGAAGAACACCGGUGGCGAAGGCGGCCUGCUGGGCAGUAGCUGACGCUGAUGCGCGACAGCGUGGGGAGCAAACAGGAUUAGAUACCCUGGUAGUCCACGCCGUAAACGAUGGGCACUAGG